RNAcentral lists this ribosomal RNA (497 nucleotides) under uncultured bacterium. RNAcentral describes it as "partial 16S ribosomal RNA". It matches the Rfam family "Bacterial small subunit ribosomal RNA", at positions 28 to 507 of the family's 1533-position model. The record is from RNAcentral.
GAUGAACGCUGGCGGCGUGCCUAAUACAUGCAAGUAGAACGCUGAAGGAAGGAGCUUGCUCUUUCCGGAUGAGUUGCGAACGGGUGAGUAACGCGUAGGUAACCUGCCUGGUAGCGGGGGAUAACUAUUGGAAACGAUAGCUAAUACCGCAUAACAGUAGAUGUUGCAUGAUAUCUACUUAAAAGGUGCAAUUGCACCACUACCAGAUGGACCUGCGUUGUAUUAGCUAGUUGGUGGGGUAACGGCUCACCAAGGCGACGAUACAUAGCCGACCUGAGAGGGUGAUCGGCCACACUGGGACUGAGACACGGCCCAGACUCCUACGGGAGGCAGCAGUAGGGAAUCUUCGGCAAUGGACGGAAGUCUGACCGAGCAACGCCGCGUGAGUGAAGAAGGUUGUCGGAUCGUAAAGCUCUGUUGUAAGAGAAGAACGAGUGUGAGAGUGGAAAGUUCACACUGUGACGGUAUCUUACCAGAAAGGGACGGCUAACUACGUG